GAAAAGCCGUAGAGAUACGGUCCUGUUUCUAGGGCAUUCCUCUGC
This 45-nucleotide ribosomal RNA is filed under the name uncultured organism. RNAcentral's name for it is "partial 16S ribosomal RNA". The record is from RNAcentral.